This 795-nucleotide ribosomal RNA is filed under the name Triticum aestivum (bread wheat). RNAcentral describes it as "partial small subunit ribosomal RNA". The record is from RNAcentral. Lineage: Eukaryota; Viridiplantae; Streptophyta; Magnoliopsida; Poales; Poaceae.
AUGGUGGUGCGCGAUGUAGACUUCGCCACACGCCCCAUCAGCCGCAUGCUCCGCCUGUCUAUCCCCGAAGGAACAGAGGGGAUCGCCUUCGCGCCGUACGGCGACAAGUUGCGGCAGAUCCGCAAGAUCUUCACCGUCGAGCUGUUCAGCGCCCGGCGCGUCCAGUCCUUCCGGACCGUGCGAGAGGAGGAGGCCGGCCGCCUGCUCCUGGCGGUGGCAGCAGCGGCAACGGCGUCUGCCUCGGUGAACCUCAGCAAGCGGCUGUCGGCGUACGCCGCCGACUCAUCGGUGCGCGCCAUCAUCGGGAACAGGUUCAAGGACCGGGACACGUUCCUGAUGAUUCUACAGCGCGGGAUCAAGCUGUUCGCCGGGAUGAGCUUGCCGGACCUCUACCCGUCGUCCCGCCUCGCGAUGCUCAUCAGCCGGGUGCCGGGUCAGAUGAAGCGGUACCGAGAAGAACGGGACGCGUUCAUGGACGCCGCCGUCCGCGAGCACCAGGAGAACAGAGCGGCCGACGACGACAAGGAGGGCUUGCUCGACGUGCUCCUGAGGAUCCAGCGGGAGGGCCACCUGCAGUUCCCCAUGUCCAUUGACAACAUCAAGUCGGCCGUCGGGGACUUGUUCGCCGGGGGGAGCGACACGUCGGCAACGACCCUGGAAUGGACCAUGGCCGAGCUCGUGAAGAACCCCAGAGUGAUGGGGAAGGCGCAAGACGAGGUCCGGCGAGCCCUCGCUGGACAACCCAAGGUAAUAGAGGACUCCCUCGGCGGCCUGAACUACAUGCGCCUGGUGUGA